Molecule: ribosomal RNA, 441 nt
Filed under: uncultured bacterium
Lineage: Bacteria
Description: partial 16S ribosomal RNA
Rfam family: Bacterial small subunit ribosomal RNA
Source: RNAcentral
CCUACGGGAGGCAGCAGUGGGGGAUAUUGCACAAUGGGGGAGACGCUGAUGCAGCGACGCCGCGUGAGUGAAGAAGGAUUUCGGUAUGGAAAGCUUUAUCAGCCGGGGAGCAAAAAGACGGUACCUGACUAAGAAGCGCCGGCGAACUACGGGCCAGCAGCCGCGGUAAUACGGAGGGGGCGCGGGUUAACCGGAUUUACUGGGUGUAAAGGGAGCGUAGACGGCAAUACAAGUCGGAGGUGAAAUACCCGGGCUCAACCUGGGAACUGCUUUUGAAACUGUAUGGCUAGAGUGCGGGAGAGGUAAGCGGAAUGCGUGGUGUAGCGGUGAAAUGCGUAGAUAUUAGGCAGAACACCAGUGGCGAAGGCAGCUUACCGGACCGUAACUGACGUUGAGGCUCGAAAGCGUGGGUAUCGAACAGGAUUAGAUACCCGAGUAGUC